AUUGAACGCUGGCGGCAUGCCUUACACAUGCAAGUCGAACGGCAGCACGGGUGCUUGCACCUGGUGGCGAGUGGCGAACGGGUGAGUAAUACAUCGGAACAUGUCCUGUAGUGGGGGAUAGCCCGGCGAAAGCCGGAUUAAUGCCGCAUACGAUCUACGGAUGAAAGCGGGGGACCUUCGGGCCUCGCGCUAUAGGGUUGGCCGAUGGCUGAUUAGCUAGUUGGUGGGGUAAAGGCCUACCAAGGCGACGAUCAGUAGCUGGUCUGAGAGGACGACCAGCCACACUGGGACUGAGACACGGCCCAGACUCCUACGGGAGGCAGCAGUGGGGAAUUUUGGACAAUGGGCGAAAGCCUGAUCCAGCAAUGCCGCGUGUGUGAAGAAGGCCUUCGGGUUGUAAAGCACUUUUGUCCGGAAAGAAAUCCUUGGCCCUAAUACGGUCGGGGGAUGACGGUACCGGAAGAAUAAGCACCGGCUAACUACGUG
This 486-nucleotide ribosomal RNA is filed under the name uncultured bacterium. RNAcentral's name for it is "partial 16S ribosomal RNA". It matches the Rfam family "Bacterial small subunit ribosomal RNA", at positions 30 to 507 of the family's 1533-position model. The record is from RNAcentral.